CUCUCUUACAUUUUCCCCAUUAUCUUUGUAUCUCCAUUUCAGAUAAAUUGUUCUCUUUCCAAGGGUUGAGGAGAACAUGGUCGUGCUUCAAGUGAAGCCACUACAGCCACUGCCUGACAAGUCUUCCACACUGAUAACAUCAGGGAAAAAUAAACUCUACACUAACUAAGUGAUGAAAAACGUAGCAUCAUCCGCUGCACCAAACAAUACAGCAGCGAAUGACACUGCCAGGACUUGAACCAACACCUGCCUGCCUCACUGACACCUGCCGUGGUGCCAGGGAGUGCCGAGGCCCGUGCUGCCACCACGCUGAGAGAGGGAGAAAGAGAAGAGCAUCAGAGAGGAAUGACAGUGGCAGGAAGGAUGGUGUGUUAGGUGACUGGUUCAGACAGUGACAGUGGACAGAAGAAAUGCUGGAGAAAGAUUAGACCACAGAUGGUUCAUGUUGUACUAGUUCAAGGUUUGGCAGAAAACAUUUUUUUCUAGACAGUGGCAGCAGACACACAAGAGAGGAUGGUGGUGGUGGGCAAGAGGAUGCAAGGAGACGGCAGACAGAAUGGAAGCUACAGAUGAAAGAAGAGCAGGUCAAGCCAUGGCAGCAGACAGACACACAGACAGACACAUUGGAUCAGAAAGUUUUAUUUAGUGAGACAGGCCCACUGGAAGCUGUCAGUCUGCUGCGGCACGUGGCAAGAACCAAGUGUUGAGGAGCACACGUCGUCCCUUCACCAGUCAGCAGGUCUGGGCGGCUCGGAAGUCUCACUACAAACUGGAGAUCCAUUCUCUUGGACACAGCUGGAAUCGGACACAAGAUUCAAGAGGGAGUCAUUUUAACGAGAGCUUCAGGCAGAAAAUUCGAGUGGAUUUUCAUUUC
Scylla paramamosain (green mud crab) is the source of this 874-nucleotide long non-coding RNA. RefSeq lists it as uncharacterized. NCBI's taxonomy places the organism in Eukaryota, Metazoa, Arthropoda, Malacostraca, Decapoda, Portunidae. The transcript is spliced from 4 exons. The record is from RefSeq and is a predicted model, not a curated record.